CUCAGGGAAGAUGAGGCCAAGAAUAAAAGGAUAGCAGUGGAGCAAGAAUGUGUUGGGUUUGUUGGAGAGCUAUAGCCGUAGAGUAUUGACUAAUGGAUCUUGAGCCCUGCUGAGGGAGGUCUCUACUGGAGUACUAAAAAGGCCUUCUCUUGCCUCUGUCUAUUUCAACAUUUUCAACUUAGAUGAAGACAUGGAAGGAGACUUAAACCACUAUUGCACAAUAUCUAAAAUAACGAAGAUGGGACACAAGUCAUGAAAAGAAAAAAGCAUCAAUAGGAAAAGUAAAGUGUUUGCACAAAGGCACGAGCAAUGGAUUUUAUAGGUCAUAGUUAAUGGAACCUGGUUGAAUGGCAUCGAUGAGAUCCAGAACGGGCAAACUUGUACUAAUCUUUGGGUCCUGCACAGAGAGAACGAAUUUUUUGGUGAAGAAGCCCAAGGGAAGCAAAAUGCAGAGAUUUGAGUUUCGCCUUCUUUCUCUGCCCACAAUCUUGUGAAGGUGCUGACAGGCAGAGAAAUGGCCAGCAACUGGCAGCACAGAAAGAUGGGGAAGAAAAGGCACCCGGGAACCUCAAUGCUAUGUAUGCCUAAGAAAGCCGGGGCAGAGCCUCGGAAACAACCAAGACUGCUGGCUCAGAAUGCUCUGCUGGGUCUGUUAGACCACAUUUCAUGAGAUGACAACAUUUUUGCUUUUAAGAGAUCAAUUUUGUAAUAAUGACAAUGUUCUCUUGUCUAUUCCCAUAAGUGUUUUAUAUUUCAAAUGCUUACCUGAAUAAUUAUAGCAUCUUAAAAAAUAUAAUCAACUCUUUCCUCUAUGUUUCCCAGAUGAAUAAAUAUUUCUUGCUCAGCCAGAAGGUUUAAAUUUA
Hipposideros armiger (great roundleaf bat) is the source of this 863-nucleotide long non-coding RNA. RefSeq lists it as uncharacterized. NCBI's taxonomy places the organism in Eukaryota, Metazoa, Chordata, Mammalia, Chiroptera, Hipposideridae. The transcript has 5 exons. The record is from RefSeq and is a predicted model, not a curated record.